This 774-nucleotide ribosomal RNA is filed under the name uncultured Neocallimastigales. RNAcentral describes it as "partial large subunit ribosomal RNA". It matches the Rfam family "Eukaryotic large subunit ribosomal RNA", at positions 24 to 614 of the family's 3401-position model. The record is from RNAcentral. Lineage: Eukaryota; Fungi; Neocallimastigomycota; Neocallimastigomycetes; Neocallimastigales.
UAUCUCUGUAGAGUCUGCAUAUCAAUAAGCGGAGGAAAAGAAACUAACUAGGAUUCCCUCAGUAACGGCGAGUGAAGCGGGAAGAGCUCAAAUUUGAAAUCUUCAAGGUUUUACCUUGACGAAUUGUAGCUUAAAGAAGUGUUUUCUGUUGGAGUUUUGGUAAAAGUUCUCUGGAAUAGGACAUCAUAGAGGGUGAGAAUCCCGUAUUUGACCAUUAUUUCCAGCUUUGUGAUACACUUUCAAAGAGUCGGAUUGUUUGGGAAUGCAGUCCAAAAUGGGUGGUAAAUUUCAUCUAAAGCUAAAUACUGGCGAGAGACCGAUAGCGAACAAGUACCGUGAGGGAAAGAUGAAAAGAACUUUGAAAAGAGAGUUAAACAGUACGUGAAAUUGUCAAAAGGGAAGCGUUUGACACCAGUGUUGUUUUCUCGAAAAUCAAUUAAAAAUGGCGGGAUUUUGUGUUGUAUUGACUUUAUCAGCUUUCUGCACUCUUUUCCUGUCUUUUUUAAUGCACUUUUCGUUUAACAAGUCAACAUCAAUUUCUUUUGUUGUAAAAGAGUCAUUGGAAGGUGGCUUUCUUUUCGGAGAAAGUGUUUAUAGCCUUUGGCUUCUGCAAUCGGAGAGAUUGAGGUCUGCAGCGUAGAUCCUUCGGGGUUAGAUACAUUUGUGCUAAGUUAUAGCCUUUCAUAGACAACUUGUUGACUAUGAUCAGUCAUGUAGCUUACUCGCUUAUGCUAUUUUACCUACGCUUAGGAUGUUGAGUCAUCACACAUCUCU